ACGGGUGAGUAAUGCUUAUCUUACUUGCCAAUUAGUGGGGGAUAACCCUGGGAAACCAGGGCUAAUACCGCAUUUGUUGCUUCGGCAAUGAAAGGGAAUCGCAAGAUUCUCGCUAAUUGAGAGGGAUAAGCCGUAUUAGUUAGUUGGUGGGGUAAUAGCCUACCAAGACAGUGAUGCGUAGCCAGGCUGAGAGGCUGAGUGGCCACAAGGGAACUGAGACACGGUCCCUACUCCUACGGGAGGCAGCAGUGAGGAAUUUUCCACAAUGGGGGCAACCCUGAUGGAGCAAUACUACGUGAAGGAGGAAGGUCUACGGAUUGUAAACUUCUGUUAGUGCGGAAGAAGGGCUAAGCGCAAGUUUAGCCUUGACGGUACGCACAGAGAAAGCCACGACUAACUACGUGCCAGCAGUCGCGGUAAGACGUAGGUGGCGAACGUUAUCCGGAAUUAUUGGGCGUAAAGGGUGCGUAGAUGGUAUGAUAAGUUAUUGGUGGUAAAUCGGGGCUCAACCUCGUGGAAGCUAGUAAUACUGUUAUACUUGAGUACAGGAGAGGUUAAUGGAAUUCCCUGUGGAGCGGUAAAAUGCGUUAGAUAUAGGGAGGAACACCAAUAACGGCGAAGGCAAUUAACUAUCCUGCUACUGACAUUGAGGCACGAAAGCGUGGGGAGCAAAAAGGAUUAGAUACCCUUGUAGUCCACGCCCUAAACGAUGAGUGCUAGAUAUUGGACAUUUUAUGUUCAGUGUCGCUAGUUAACACGGUAAGCACUCCGCCUGGGUAGUACGGUCGCAAGGCUGAAACUCAAAGGAAUUGACGGGGACUCGCACAAGCAGUGGAGCAUGUGGUUUAAUCCGAUACAACGCGUAGAACCUUACCAAGGCUUGACAUGUUCGGCAAAGUUAGGGAAACCUAAUGGAGGUUAUCCGGACACAGGUGCUGCAUGGCCGUCGUCAGUUCGUGCCGUGAGGUGUAUGGUUAAGUCCUAUAACGAACGUAACCCUUAGGCUUAGUUGCCAGCAUUCAGUUGGGGACUCUAAGCCGACUGCCCGAGUAAUCGGGAGGAAGGAAAGGAUGACGUCUGGUCGUC
This 1086-nucleotide ribosomal RNA is filed under the name uncultured bacterium. RNAcentral's name for it is "bacterial SSU rRNA". It matches the Rfam family "Bacterial small subunit ribosomal RNA", at positions 102 to 1194 of the family's 1533-position model. The record is from RNAcentral.